UUAUAUAUAAUAGAUUCAAACUAUCCCUAAAAAUAUCAAAAAUUUUUGUGCUUCAUACACUUAUAUAUA
This 69-nucleotide transfer RNA is filed under the name Ctenocephalides felis (cat flea). RNAcentral's name for it is "tRNA-Gln". Lineage: Eukaryota; Metazoa; Arthropoda; Insecta; Siphonaptera; Pulicidae. The record is from RNAcentral.